This 576-nucleotide ribosomal RNA is filed under the name Saccharomyces cerevisiae (brewer's yeast). RNAcentral's name for it is "partial large subunit ribosomal RNA". It matches the Rfam family "Eukaryotic large subunit ribosomal RNA", at positions 78 to 668 of the family's 3401-position model. The record is from RNAcentral. Lineage: Eukaryota; Fungi; Ascomycota; Saccharomycetes; Saccharomycetales; Saccharomycetaceae.
CCUUAGUACGGCGAGUGAAGCGGCAAAAGCUCAAAUUUGAAAUCUGGUACCUUCGGUGCCCGAGUUGUAAUUUGGAGAGGGCAACUUUGGGGCCGUUCCUUGUCUAUGUUCCUUGGAACAGGACGUCAUAGAGGGUGAGAAUCCCGUGUGGCGAGGAGUGCGGUUCUUUGUAAAGUGCCUUCGAAGAGUCGAGUUGUUUGGGAAUGCAGCUCUAAGUGGGUGGUAAAUUCCAUCUAAAGCUAAAUAUUGGCGAGAGACCGAUAGCGAACAAGUACAGUGAUGGAAAGAUGAAAAGAACUUUGAAAAGAGAGUGAAAAAGUACGUGAAAUUGUUGAAAGGGAAGGGCAUUUGAUCAGACAUGGUGUUUUGUGCCCUCUGCUCCUUGUGGGUAGGGGAAUCUCGCAUUUCACUGGGCCAGCAUCAGUUUUGGUGGCAGGAUAAAUCCAUAGGAAUGUAGCUUGCCUCGGUAAGUAUUAUAGCCUGUGGGAAUACUGCCAGCUGGGACUGAGGACUGCGACGUAAGUCAAGGAUGCUGGCAUAAUGGUUAUAUGCCGCCCGUCUUGAACCCCCGAACCA